GGAGCCCCAUAAACCCUAAACACACCGUUAGCUCUCACUCGGAGUGUGAUGGAGACACUUUGACAACUAUGGAGACGAGGAGGGGUGUCUGAUGUGUUCUGCAACUACCCUAAAAGUUCCCUGAAGGGAGGCAGCACAGACUUAGAGACAGAGGGACAGAGAGCCUGCUGCAAUAACCCAGCUAAAACGGAUCAGUUGGUUAGUGGCGUGCGGAGAUAAUGGUCCAAUUUUGAUUUGGGGUGUGCUUUGAGGGUUAGGGCUGACAAGAUGUGCCGAGCAGCUGUGACAUUUGAGAUGCGUGAAGGAGGACCAUAGAGUUUGGUGUCAGCCCUGGGUGGGAUGGCACUGCUGGCUAAGGGGGUAAACCCUUUAGAGGAGCAGUCUGGGUGCCAUCCUGGGCUGAGCUCCUGACCCGCCGAGCGUGAGAUCCCGGGAGACAUGAGAGGAAGCGCCAGGAAGCAGGGUGAACCUCCAAGUACAAGGGCACAUUUGGGCAUGCCUGUGGUCGGUGUGUGAAUCCAUGGCGAGCCAGACAUUCCAGAGCUGGCGGUGAAGCAGAGAAGGGAAGGUCCGUGUCCCUCUCCCAACUCACGGCCGAGGAGACAGGAGGAAACAGCGAGACGGUAAAGUAGCUGGGCAGGGGAAAGCUCUGUUUUUUGCAACGCGGAUCCAGGUCCUAAGCCUGCUGCCCUGACCUCUGGGAACUCGCUCUGACCUCCUCUCCCGGAAGACCCACCACCACCACCACCACCACCACCACCAACACACACAGUUACUGUUUCGUCUGCCUGCUUUCUUACCGCUACCUCAGAGAGCAUGACCUCCUCUCUUCUUACCCAUCUCCUCCUCCCGCUGCCCAGGGCUCCAGCACGCCUGCUCUGUCAGUCCAGUAAGACUGUCUUUGAGUUUCUACCCAUUUUGUUGUUGUUGCUGCUGCUGUUUUCAAUUCUUUUAAUUACAAGACUAAGAACCUGCAGGAGGGAGCCUUCUGCUCUCUGGUGACAAACGGAGUCACAUAGUAUCCAUUGACAAAGGGAGUCACAUAGUAUCCAUUUAGGAAGGCGUGAUUUUGGGAGGUAACUUGCUGCUUGGAAUCUGCCAGAAACAGCUAUGUGGGAACUUCUCUUAAAGAUCAGAGUUCAGAGGUUCCGGGUUGCAGUUUCCCGUACAACCUUUCCUAUUUCGCCAGUGAGUUUUAGCUUCCAAGACACUUAUGUAAUACUCCAUUUGUGUAAGGAAAAAUCAAGCUAACUGGCCAAUAUUUCACAUGUCCACAAUUACACCUACUUAAAUGGCGUUGAUCUGCUCCCCAGAGCACCUGGAAAAUUCUGGCUGACUGUUGAUCUCAAGGCAGAAGUUUUUUGUUUUUGUUUUUGUUUUGUUUGAGACAGGGUCUCACAGCUCAGGCUGGCCUCAAACUCACUAUGUAGCUGAAGGUAACCUUACACCUCCAAGUUAUGGGCACGCACAACCACAUCUGGCCUAUGCCGAGCUGGGGACUGAACCAGGGGCUUUGUGAAUGCUAGGCUAGAGCUCUAUAGACAGAGCGCAUUCCCAGUUGUGCAGAGGAUUUCUACAAAGGAUGGUGUUCAGAGUCCUACGCAUGGUAACGUUUGCUUUGCCUACUCUUGGACAAGCGUGACUAUGAUUCCUUACAACCAUAACAUUUUUAUUUUAAUGGCCAUGGCUCUGACUGUGACCUUGACCUCCAGACCCUUUGCAAUAUUUAAUAAAUGCGGCACACGUA
Molecule: long non-coding RNA, 1747 nt
Organism: Mesocricetus auratus (golden hamster)
Lineage: Eukaryota; Metazoa; Chordata; Mammalia; Rodentia; Cricetidae
Exons: 2
Source: RefSeq, a predicted model, not a curated record